This 688-nucleotide long non-coding RNA is filed under the name Vigna radiata. RNAcentral describes it as "long non-coding RNA (VRAD_LNC018428)". Lineage: Eukaryota; Viridiplantae; Streptophyta; Magnoliopsida; Fabales; Fabaceae. The record is from RNAcentral.
UUUAUUUGAUUUCUUGUAUUAGUCUUUUAAAAAGGAAAAAAAUAAUAAAAAUAGAAAACAAAAAUGAAAGAGAAAAAGAAAACGUGGAAAAAAAAAUAAAGUUUGUUAAAAAAAAGAGGGGGACACGUUUUGGAAUGAGGGAUGAGGCGACCUAACAGAAAUGGUUCCUCUAGCAUAUGCAACAACCAUCACUCUCUCAGGUGGCAUUCACUACAUGCUCAACAGAAAAAUGGCCCUGCAAAAAAAUAUUCUAAGAUGAUACACAGAGGAAGCACUCAUCAUGUUACAAGGGAAGAAUUUCACCAUCAUCAGACACUCGUAACGACUCAAUUAGAUUGGUUCUUUUUUCUUGCCCAAUUCCUCAUCUCCAACAGAAUGGGUCCUCCAUGAGGCAACCAUCACACACCACAUGCUCCUUCUUCAUCUUGGGUUUUCUAUCAGCAAAAACACAAAAAAUCAAGCACAGGAGAAAACCAUUUUCCACCGGACCAUCACAGCUUCAAGAGCAUCCAUCAUUCACCUCUUACGACCUCCAAUUCCUAUAUUCCCACGCAGACAACAUUCCCUUUUGACUUACAACUCCUCUCUCUCCUUACCCAUAACCACCACUCACCGGAAAAGCAAAAAAGGGUUCCUUCAUUCUCUGUCAAUACUAACAAUUGUUAUUCACCAAUCACCAUACCUCCCC